GUCGAGCGAACAGACGAGGAGCUUGCUCCUCUGACGUUAGCGGCGGACGGGUGAGUAACACGUGGAUAACCUACCUAUAAGACUGGGAUAACUUCGGGAAACCGGAGCUAAUACCGGAUAAUAUUUUGAACCGCAUGGUUCAAAAGUGAAAGACGGUCUUGCUGUCACUUAUAGAUGGAUCCGCGCUGCAUUAGCUAGUUGGUAAGGUAACGGCUUACCAAGGCAACGAUGCAUAGCCGACCUGAGAGGGUGAUCGGCCACACUGGAACUGAGACACGGUCCAGACUCCUACGGGAGGCAGCAGUAGGGAAUCUUCCGCAAUGGGCGAAAGCCCGACGGAGCAACGCCGCGUGAGUGAUGAAGGUCUUCGGAUCGUAAAACUCUGUUAUUAGGGAAGAACAUAUGUGUAAGUAACUGUGCACAUCUUGACGGUACCUAAUCAGAAAGCCACGGCUAACUACGUGCCAGCAGCCGCGGUAAUACGUAGGUGGCAAGCGUUAUCCGGAAUUAUUGGGCGUAAAGCGCGCGUAGGCGGUUUUUUAAGUCUGAUGUGAAAGCCCACGGCUCAACCGUGGAGGGUCAUUGGAAACUGGAAAACUUGAGUGCAGAAGAGGAAAGUGGAAUUCCAUGUGUAGCGGUGAAAUGCGCAGAGAUAUGGAGGAACACCAGUGGCGAAGGCGACUUUCUGGUCUGUAACUGACGCUGAUGUGC
RNAcentral lists this ribosomal RNA (711 nucleotides) under uncultured Staphylococcus sp. Its description in RNAcentral is "bacterial SSU rRNA". It matches the Rfam family "Bacterial small subunit ribosomal RNA", at positions 61 to 754 of the family's 1533-position model. The record is from RNAcentral. Lineage: Bacteria; Bacillati; Bacillota; Bacilli; Caryophanales; Staphylococcaceae.